This 253-nucleotide ribosomal RNA is filed under the name uncultured bacterium. RNAcentral describes it as "partial 16S ribosomal RNA". It matches the Rfam family "Bacterial small subunit ribosomal RNA", at positions 524 to 776 of the family's 1533-position model. The record is from RNAcentral.
UACAGGGGGUGCAAACGUUGCUCGGAAUUAUUGGGCGUAAAGCGCGCGUAGGCGGCUACUUAAGUCGGAUGUGAAAGCCCCUGGCUUAACUGGGGAAGUGCACCCGAAACUGAGUAGCUAGAGUACGAAAGAGGGUCGCGGAAUUCCCGGUGUAGAGGUGAAAUUCGUAGAUAUCGGGAGGAACACCGGUGGCGAAGGCGGCGACCUGGGUCGAUACUGACGCUGAGGCGCGAAAGCGUGGGGAGCAAACAGG